RNAcentral lists this non-coding RNA (19 nucleotides) under Arabidopsis thaliana (thale cress). The record is from RNAcentral. Lineage: Eukaryota; Viridiplantae; Streptophyta; Magnoliopsida; Brassicales; Brassicaceae.
GCAGCGAUACUGACGUGCA